GGGGUUAUAGCUCAGUGGUAGAAUGUGUGCUUGGCAUGCGCGAGGUUCUGGGUUCAAUCCCCAGUGCCCCCG
This 72-nucleotide transfer RNA is filed under the name Camelus bactrianus (Bactrian camel). It matches the Rfam family "tRNA". From Rfam's summary of the family: Transfer RNA (tRNA) molecules are approximately 80 nucleotides in length. Lineage: Eukaryota; Metazoa; Chordata; Mammalia; Artiodactyla; Camelidae. The record is from Rfam by way of RNAcentral. RNAcentral also lists the same sequence under 1 other name.